CAGCCGCCGCGGGAAUACGUAGGUCCCGAGCGUUGUCCGGACUUAUUGGGCGUAAAGGGAGCGCAGGCGGUUUAGUAAGUCUGAAGUUAAAGGCAUUGGCUCAACCAAUGUAUGCUUUGGAAACUGUUAGACUUGAGUGCAGAAGGGGAGAGUGGAAUUCCAUGUGUAGCGGUGAAAUGCGUAGAUAUAUGGAGGAACACCGGUGGCGAAAGCGGCUCUCUGGUCUGUCACUGACGCUGAGGCUCGAAAGCGUGGGUAGCGAACAGGAUUAGAUACCCGCGUAGUCCCUGUCUCUUAUACA
This 301-nucleotide ribosomal RNA is filed under the name uncultured bacterium. Its description in RNAcentral is "partial 16S ribosomal RNA". It matches the Rfam family "Bacterial small subunit ribosomal RNA", at positions 509 to 808 of the family's 1533-position model. The record is from RNAcentral.